GAUGCCAGGGUCCCAAGGUCUAAGCCCGCAUGAGCUUGCUCAUAAGCGGGUGAAAGACCUUAGGACCCGCCCCGAUAUGAGCAUAAAAGCGGGAUAUAUCUCCCACGAUAUGCGAAUAUCGGGGUGGAUUGUGGAAGUGCGAAGCACGGAACAAUCCACAGGC
Molecule: small RNA, 163 nt
Filed under: uncultured Mediterraneibacter sp.
Lineage: Bacteria; Bacillati; Bacillota; Clostridia; Lachnospirales; Lachnospiraceae
Description: Clostridiales-1 RNA
Rfam family: Clostridiales-1 RNA
Source: RNAcentral